UGGGGAAUUUUCCGCAAUGGGCGCAAGCCUGACGGAGCAAGACCGCGUGGGGGAGGAAGGUCUGUGGAUUGUAAACCCCUUUUGACUGGGAAGAACACAAUGACGGUACCAG
Molecule: ribosomal RNA, 112 nt
Filed under: uncultured bacterium
Lineage: Bacteria
Description: partial 16S ribosomal RNA
Rfam family: Bacterial small subunit ribosomal RNA
Source: RNAcentral